Molecule: ribosomal RNA, 214 nt
Filed under: Escherichia coli
Lineage: Bacteria; Pseudomonadati; Pseudomonadota; Gammaproteobacteria; Enterobacterales; Enterobacteriaceae
Description: partial 23S ribosomal RNA
Rfam family: Bacterial large subunit ribosomal RNA
Source: RNAcentral
GGCACUGCCCGGUAGCUAAAUGCGGAAGAGAUAAGUGCUGAAAGCAUCUAAGCACGAAACUUGCCCCGAGAUGAGUUCUCCCUGACCCUUUAAGGGUCCUGAAGGAACGUUGAAGACGACGACGUUGAUAGGCCGGGUGUGUAAGCGCAGCGAUGCGUUGAGCUAACCGGUACUAAUGAACCGUGAGGCUUAACCUUACAACGCCGAAGCUGUU